This 502-nucleotide ribosomal RNA is filed under the name uncultured bacterium. RNAcentral's name for it is "partial 16S ribosomal RNA". It matches the Rfam family "Bacterial small subunit ribosomal RNA", at positions 30 to 523 of the family's 1533-position model. The record is from RNAcentral.
AUUGAACGCUGGCGGAAUGCUUUACACAUGCAAGUCGAACGGCAGCAUAGGUGCUUGCACCUGAUGGCGAGUGGCGAACGGGUGAGUAAUACAUCGGAACGUGCCCAGUCGUGGGGGAUAACGUAGCGAAAGUUACGCUAAUACCGCAUACGAUCUAAGGAUGAAAGCGGGGGACCGUAAGGCCUCGCGCGAUUGGAGCGGCCGAUGUCAGAUUAGGUAGUUGGUGAGGUAAAGGCUCACCAAGCCGACGAUCUGUAGCUGGUCUGAGAGGGCGACCAGCCACACUGGGGCUGAGACACGGCCCAGACUCCUACGGGAGGCAGCAGUGGGGAAUUUUGGACAAUGGACGCAAGUCUGAUCCAGCCAUUCCGCGUGCAGGACGAAGGCCUUCGGGUUGUAAACUGCUUUUGUACGGAACGAAAAAGCUCUUACUAAUACUAGGAGUCCAUGACGGUACCGUAAGAAUAAGCACCGGCUAACUACGUGCCAGCCGCCGCGGUAA